Molecule: transfer RNA, 74 nt
Filed under: Caudoviricetes sp.
Lineage: Duplodnaviria; Heunggongvirae; Uroviricota; Caudoviricetes
Description: tRNA-Thr
Rfam family: tRNA
About the family: Transfer RNA (tRNA) molecules are approximately 80 nucleotides in length. Their secondary structure includes four short double-helical elements and three loops (D, anti-codon, and T loops).
Source: RNAcentral
GCUAGAGUAGCUCUAAUGGGUAGAGCAGUUGAUUUGUAAUCAAGAGGUUGCAGGUUCGAACCCUGUCUCUAGCA